Molecule: non-coding RNA, 305 nt
Organism: Pelobates cultripes (western spadefoot toad)
Lineage: Eukaryota; Metazoa; Chordata; Amphibia; Anura; Pelobatidae
Source: the annotation of a GenBank genome assembly
AUUUUGUGCUAAAAAGAAAUUAAAAGUGUAUAUUGCCAAAUUCACUCAGAACAAAGCGGACUCCAUUUUGCUAUCUUCAGGAUAACAAAAACACAUAAUUUCCUUGAUUUCUCCUUAUUUUCUGUAACUAGCCACUUGUUUGAGCUGAGGAAUGCGUUACAUAAACAAACCAAGAUAAGCAAGGGGAGUGGAAUGCUCUGUCUAAAUGUUAAUGGAAUAGAUGCAAUUAUCUAAACACAGACACUAGUGACAGAGAAGACUAAGUAAUUAAUUUUACUUUCUAAAUUUUACAAGGUUCCAUUGUA